GGCCGCCUGGCGUAAUGGCAACGCGUCUGACUACGACGGGGUAAUCAGGAGAUUGCAGGUUCGACCCCUGCGGUGGUCA
This is a non-coding RNA of Daedaleopsis nitida, 79 nucleotides long. NCBI's taxonomy places the organism in Eukaryota, Fungi, Basidiomycota, Agaricomycetes, Polyporales, Polyporaceae. The record is from the annotation of a GenBank genome assembly.